GGGGUACACCCUGGACAGGUUGCCAGUCCAUCGCAGGUCCCUCAACCCCUUUUCCCUCAAACCUCCUUCGCUCUGAGUGCUGCAUUUGGGUUCUGUCCCCACACCACCUGUAACAAAUAUAAAUAUUAUAGUUACAUGACAUUAUUUACCACUUCAUAGACCCAGAAAAAGGCAAAUGCAAGGCCCUUGGAAUUCAUCAGUCUGGAAAUGGCAUGGUGCGAAGAACCUUGACACAAAAAUAGCAGCAUUUCAAAAGAUUGUAUAAGACGGUAGAAGAUGCAGCGUAUAUGCCUUGAAAUAUGAAAAACCUACGAUACAUUGCAAAGGAUUGUGAAGAACACUCACAAGUGGAGUGGGGAUGCCUAGAAGGAGGAGCCUUCUCCCAGAUGACCCCAGACAGCUUGGUUUGGUGCCCCCUGCACCAGCCACAUCAGUCAGAAGAGGUCUAGGACAGUUAUUCCAACCAGCAUCUGAUGUGGAAGGACCCCCAUAGGCGAUCACAUUGCAUGUUUCCUGGUACUUGUCAGGCAGCAUCACAAGGGAAAAAACUUCAGUUCACUGACAAAGUCAUAGCUUUUUACUUUAAAAAUUUUUUUUUAUUUACAUUAAAUUUUGUUCCUACCCUCCUCCAGUGGCUAUUUCAUGUUUUUCCAAUUUAUACACAUUUCAUCUUAUUCUGCUAAGUACACUGUGACCAGCACAUUAUUUUCAGUAGGUAGCCUAAAUUACAGUUUACAAUUUGAACAGUAAUGAUAAGUAAGGCUACAGCUGUCCUCUAUGUAAAUAUAACUAGAAUUGGAAAUGUUAUGGCAAAGGUUGAAAUUCUAAACACAUGUACAAAUGUGUAUAAUGAAAAUAAACACCAUGUGCUUCUAUUA
This is a long non-coding RNA of Micropterus salmoides (largemouth bass), 878 nucleotides long. RefSeq lists it as uncharacterized. NCBI's taxonomy places the organism in Eukaryota, Metazoa, Chordata, Actinopteri, Centrarchiformes, Centrarchidae. The record is from RefSeq and is a predicted model, not a curated record. The transcript is spliced from 3 exons.